This 101-nucleotide small nuclear RNA is filed under the name Moschus moschiferus (Siberian musk deer). Lineage: Eukaryota; Metazoa; Chordata; Mammalia; Artiodactyla; Moschidae. The record is from RNAcentral.
GUGCUGCUUCAGUAGCCCAUUUACUAAAACUGGACGAUACAGAGAUGAACAUGACCCCUGCACAAAGAUACACGCAUAUUUGUAAAGCGCUCCAUAUUUUU